Molecule: long non-coding RNA, 1788 nt
Filed under: Vigna radiata
Lineage: Eukaryota; Viridiplantae; Streptophyta; Magnoliopsida; Fabales; Fabaceae
Description: long non-coding RNA (VRAD_LNC001148)
Source: RNAcentral
GAGGUCUUCUUAGGCCAUUUUCAUUUUCAAUUUCUUUAUUUGGUGCACACAUGGUCACAUGAAUUGCUAGGAAAAAGUUGUGUUUUCUUAUUUCUUUUGUUUUAAAUUAAUUUGCAUAUUAGGAUUAGUUGCUUUUGAUUUCUCUAAUUUAGUUUUGCAUCUAAAUUAAUUUAACUUUGUUAGAUAGUUGUGUGUAAUAGCGUCGGUGUCUAGUAUUUUAUUUUAUUUUGUCUUAAUGUUGUCUAAUAUGUUUGGUCUUGUUGCUUUAGUUGCCAUGUUAGCUUAGAUUAACUGUGUUGGUCAUUAGCGAUAUUGCACUACUUCUUUGAGAUUUCUGGACUGUAUAUGUUUUUGCUACUCUGACUUGGUCAAUAUCAAAUCUGUAUUUGCACUUGCAAAUGGGUGUACACUUAGUUACCCAGUUGGUGUUGAGUCGUCUCUUAGUCGAUGAAACUACAUGGUGUAAGUUAGAUUUGACGUUAACAUUGCGUUCACUUAGUCCGCUUUUAUGAAAACAUAAUUAUAUGCGCUUAGUUGAUUAAUUGUGUUGGAUUAGAGGUCUGAGUCGGUUUUAUUUUGUUGAUCCGUGAUAGAAAGCAUUGUAAUUAAGUUAAUGACCAACUGCUUUUAUUCUGUCUUUGAACCCGUUUUUAAAUUUGUGUUUAAUUAUUAGUUGCGUAUGUGUUUUUGAUUUUAUUCAUCCGUAUUCACCACAAACUUUUCAUAACCCCCCUGUAAGACCCGUAUAAAUAAAAUGAUUUCUUACCUUAAGCAAUUUAAUUUUGGUGGUAUUAGAUAAUAAAUUUUGAUGUGAAACGUUGUUGAGAAAUAUUUAAGGAAGGGAAGAAAAUUAAAUUAAUAAUGGUUUUAUAUUAAUUUUCGAAAAAGCUUGGAAUCGUAUUUAAAUAUAAUUGUUUGCGCUAUUAUAUCGGUGGAUGGAGCUUGGUCUAGUGGUUGUUGUGUGUGCAUGGGAGGGAUGUGUUUUUGGUCUUAAGUUCUAACCCUCCCAAGACCAAAAAGGCUCCUAGCUCUUUUUACUUUCCACCUUGUCAUGUGGGUCCCACCAUGAGGUAAGAAAGAUGAAAUCAAAUUCAUAUGAAUUAGGGGUAGCAACGUUAAUGGAGUAUUUCUUUGAUGUGUUUCAUGCAUUAAAUGAUAUUGGUUCUCUUUAUUUUGUUUUGUAUUUCUUUGCAUGGUUGGAUACAUGUUUUUUUAGACUUUGGAAAUAUUAAGUGACAUUUGAUUUCCUUGUGGGAGGUUACCAUUUAGUAAUUGUAGGUUACAUAAAUGAGAGUUAAGGGGCAUUUUAACACCUUUUAAAAACUACCAUUUACACACAUUAAAGAGAGGUUUUAUUGGUGUUAAUGUGGAGUUAGGAAGGGGAAAAAUCUGAAAUGGCUUAAGGGUGUCCUUGGGAGUGACCUAGAAUAAAGUGGUUAAGGGUUAGUAGGAUUGAGAGUUAGUCUCUACUUAAAUGUGUAACUUUAAGUUAGAAAAAAAAAUAAACACUUGGAGAGAAAAAUAGAGAGAGAGAGAGUCGUGAGAGUGAGUGGAGAAACACAACAUUGUUCUAGACCAAUCAAGUUGGUGAGAGAAAGAAGAACAUCAUAGUGUUUGGGUGGUGGUCGUGACUUGAGAGAGUCUUAGAGGAGUGAAGACUUGGAGUCUAGUGAAGGGAGGAAACCUAAGAGCCUUUGGAAGCUUGCUUGGAACUAGAGGUAAGGGGUUUAACUUGGGAUAUAAUAUGGUGUAUGAUGGGUAGAAGGUAACAUGAUAAUAUUGAUGCAU